GAUGAAGAACGUAGUGAAAUGCGAUACGUAAUGUGAAUUGCAAAUUCAGUGAAUCAUCGAGUCUUUGAACGCACAUUGCGCCCCCUGGUAUUCCGGGGGGCAUGCCUGUCCGAGCGUCAUUGCUGCCCUCAAGCACGGCUUGUGUGUUGGGCCCCGUCCUCCGAUCCCGGGGGACGGGCCCGAAAGGCAGCGGCGGCACCGCGUCCGGUCCUCGAGCGUAUGGGGCUUUGUCACCCGCUCUGUAGGCCCGGCCGGCGCUUGCCGAUCAGCCCAAAUUUUUAUCCAGGUUGACCUCGGAUCAGGUAGGGAUACCCGCUGAACUUAAGCAUAUCAAUAAGCGGAGGA
Molecule: unclassified non-coding RNA, 345 nt
Filed under: soil metagenome
Description: partial contains 5.8S ribosomal RNA, internal transcribed spacer 2, and large subunit ribosomal RNA
Rfam family: 5.8S ribosomal RNA (bases 1-119)
Source: RNAcentral